UAAACACAACUGAAAAUUGGCACAUUUUGAGCCACUGACAGGCAAUGGAAUCGAAUCGCAUAAGAAGCUGCCGAUCAAAAUCAAAUUAGAGCAAAUGCGAGGCACUUAUAGGAAAUGCGCACUGCAAGUCACAGGAAACAGGAAAGCGCGGAGGCUGGCAAAAUCAAAUAACAAAAUCUGAUUGAAUUGAGACUGAGAGACAGAAAGGAAGCCCGAAGGAGAGUGGCAGAGAGAGAGAGAGCGCGACAAAAAUAGGAGUGAAGCAAAAGAGCGGGUGCUUCUAAGAUGCAGACAACGAGCAACCCAUAUAAAGAGGCACCGCUGGAACCAACGGCGUUGUCCACACUGGCGACGAAUUUAAUCAUCUGCCUUUACUGUUGGUCCCGUUGUUGUUCAUGUUAUUGUUGUUGUUGCUGUGUGCGCGAAUGUGCACAUCAAAAACUAAACACGUCAAAACUGAGACAAAGACAAAGACGGCGACAGAAACACGCAUUUUGCGCCCUACGCCUUUCGGCACGUCAGCAUCAAAGCGUGUUAUAAUUUCAAAAUUAUGCAAAGCUCUGGUAAACGUGGACGUGAACUCAUUCCGGCGUGUUUAGUGCCGGAUAUGAAGAAGAAGACCAUGAAAAGAGCCCAAUACUCGCACACAGUUUUCAAGUGCCAGGGCUGCAAUUGACAUGGUGGUGAACUUUGGCAACAGGGCGUAUUAUAAUCAAUAAACAUUCAAGAUAUGUAACUCUAACACGUUUAUUUUAGCCAAAAAUUUAUUAACUGAUCAGAUAUACUUCAUUAAUUACACUAUGUUAAGCC
Long non-coding RNA from Drosophila novamexicana, 810 nucleotides. RefSeq lists it as uncharacterized. The record is from RefSeq and is a predicted model, not a curated record. The transcript is spliced from 3 exons. Lineage: Eukaryota; Metazoa; Arthropoda; Insecta; Diptera; Drosophilidae.